GAUGAACGCUGGCGGCGUGCCUAAUACAUGCAAGUCGAGCGAACGGACGAGAAGCUUGCUUCUCUGAUGUUAGCGGCGGACGGGUGAGUAACACGUGGAUAACCUACCUAUAAGACUGGGAUAACUUCGGGAAACCGGAGCUAAUACCGGAUAAUAUUUUGAACCGCAUGGUUCAAAAGUGAAAGACGGUCUUGCUGUCACUUAUAGAUGGAUCCGCGCUGCAUUAGCUAGUUGGUAAGGUAACGGCUUACCAAGGCAACGAUGCAUAGCCGACCUGAGAGGGUGAUCGGCCACACUGGAACUGAGACACGGUCCAGACUCCUACGGGAGGCAGCAGUAGGGAAUCUUGCGCAAUGGGCGAAAGCCUGACGGAGCCACGCCGCGUGAGUGAUGAAGGUCUUCGGAUCGUAAAACUCUGUUAUUAGGGAAGAACAUAUGUGUAAGUAACUGUGCACAUCUUGACGGUACCUAAUCAGAAAGCCCCGGCUAACUACGUG
This 497-nucleotide ribosomal RNA is filed under the name uncultured bacterium. RNAcentral describes it as "partial 16S ribosomal RNA". It matches the Rfam family "Bacterial small subunit ribosomal RNA", at positions 28 to 507 of the family's 1533-position model. The record is from RNAcentral.